CAAAAGACACAAGGAGGCCACAUUACUUGUGAGUUGCUGCACCGUUCUUUCAUAUGGCUGCUCUGAUUAGUGAAGGGAUCCGCCAGCAACACAGGACUGCAGCGUUGACCGCAAUAAUACCUGCAGAACAGCCACCAUGAAAACCCCCACACCCAGACGAAAUGUCGCAUCACUUCAAUAAAGUAUGGUGGAGCACCUGUAACAGUUUUUUGGCCUUCAGUGAGGCUGCUCCAGAGGUCAUCCGCGAUGGACAUGAGGAGGAUGAGCUGGCGCUGGAAGCCCGUCAGCUGGUUCCACCAGUCAUGCCAGUGCACCAUGUCUGCGGAGCCCUGGCAAGAUGGCAGCAGCACCAAAAGAGCAACCUGUAAACUGAGUCUGAACAUUACCUCACCACAUCAUAUUGAAAUCUGACAGACAAAAAUAUGUAAAAUAAAAGACUACCAAG
Molecule: non-coding RNA, 445 nt
Organism: Doryrhamphus excisus (bluestripe pipefish)
Lineage: Eukaryota; Metazoa; Chordata; Actinopteri; Syngnathiformes; Syngnathidae
Source: RefSeq, a predicted model, not a curated record